GAUGGGGGAUAACUGCGCGAAAGCGUUGCUAAUACCGCAUACGACCUACGGGUGAAAGCAGGGGACCGCAAGGCCUUGCGUCGAUGGAGCGGCCGAUGCCGGAUUAGCUAGUUGGUGAGGUAAAGGCUCACCAAGGCGACGAUCCCGUAGCUGGUCUGAGAGGACGACCCAGCCACACUGGGACUGAGACACGGCCCAGACUCCUACGGGAGGCAGCAGUGGGGAAUCUUGGACAAUGGGCGAAAGCCUGAUCCAGCAAUGCCGCGUGUGGGAAGAAGGCCUUCGGGUUGUAAACCACUUUUGGCGGGAAAGAAAUGGUCUGUGCUAAUACCACGGAUUGAUGACGGUACCCGCAGAAUAAGCACCGGCUAACUACGUG
RNAcentral lists this ribosomal RNA (379 nucleotides) under uncultured bacterium. Its description in RNAcentral is "bacterial SSU rRNA". It matches the Rfam family "Bacterial small subunit ribosomal RNA", at positions 135 to 507 of the family's 1533-position model. The record is from RNAcentral.